This 349-nucleotide ribosomal RNA is filed under the name uncultured Butyrivibrio sp. RNAcentral describes it as "partial 16S ribosomal RNA". Lineage: Bacteria; Bacillati; Bacillota; Clostridia; Lachnospirales; Lachnospiraceae. The record is from RNAcentral.
GGAGUUUGGGCCGUGUCUCAGUCCCAAUGUGGCCGUUCACCCUCUCAGGCCGGCUACUGAUCGUUGACUUGGUGGGCCGUUACCUCACCAACUAUCUAAUCAGACGCGGGUCCAUCUUACACCGAUAAAUCUUUUCACACAUGAUCAUGCGAUCUCGUGCGCUUAUGCGGUAUUAGCAGUCAUUUCUAACUGUUAUCCCCCUGUGUAAGGCAGGUUACCCACGCGUUACUCACCCGUCCGCCACUAAGAUAUUUCAAGAUUUGACGAAUCGCAUCAGCGAAAUAUCUUCGUUCGACUUGCAUGUAUUAAGCACGCCGCCAGCGUUCAUCCUGAGCCAUAAUCAAACUCU